Molecule: ribosomal RNA, 459 nt
Filed under: uncultured bacterium
Lineage: Bacteria
Description: partial 16S ribosomal RNA
Rfam family: Bacterial small subunit ribosomal RNA
Source: RNAcentral
CCUACGGGAGGCAGCAGUGAGGAAUAUUGGUCAAUGGCCGGAAGGCUGAACCGGCCAAGUCGCGUGAGGGACGACUGCCCUAUGGGUUGUAAACCUCUUUUAUAAGGGAAGAAUAAAUGCUACGUGUAGCAUGAUGCCUGUACCUUAUGAAUAAGCAUCGGCAAACUCGGUGCCAGCAGCCGCGGUAAUACGGAGGAUGCGAGCGUUAUCCGGAUUUAUUGGGUUUAAGGGGUGCGUUGGCGGUUUUUUAAGUUAGUGGUUAAACGUCGGGGCUAAACCUUGAUUUGCAAUUAAUACUGUAAGACUCGAGUACAGGAGAGGUAGGCGGAAUAAGUUAAGUAGCGGUGAAAUGCUUAGAUAUAACGUAGAACACCGAUAGCGAAGGCAGCUUACCAGACUGCGACUGACGCUGAAGCACGAGAGCGUGGGUAGCGAACAGGAUUAGAUACCCGGGUAGUC